UACAGAGGUCUCAAGCGUUGUUCGGAUUCAUUGGGCGUGAAGGGUGCGUAGGUGGCGCGCUAAGUCGGGUGUGAAAUUUCGGAGCUUAACUCCGAAACUGCAUUCGAUACUGGCGUGCUUGAGGACUGGAGAGGAGACUGGAAUUCAUGGUGUAGCAGUGAAAUGCGUAGAGAUCAUGAGGAAGACCAGUGGCGAAGGCGGGUCUCUGGACAGUUCCUGACACUGAGGCACGAAGGCCAGGGGAGCAAACGGG
This 253-nucleotide ribosomal RNA is filed under the name uncultured bacterium. RNAcentral's name for it is "partial 16S ribosomal RNA". It matches the Rfam family "Bacterial small subunit ribosomal RNA", at positions 524 to 776 of the family's 1533-position model. The record is from RNAcentral.